GCAAAUAGAUGAGUUUGAUUUAAAUCAAAAAUCUCUAUCGGAAUGGAGAUUUUCUAAUCGGUAAGGGUUUCGAUGCCUACACGACGAUGGGAUCCUGGAAUCGGAGACGAGAUACGGAUUGGAGCAGAAGGAAAAGGGAACUUUGGGAUCUUUUGGCCGGUUUGGGUAAUAAAAUGGAGUACGAUUUCGAUUAUCAUCAAAACAAAAUCCCGGGAAUUCACAGGGAUGGUGGAGAUGAUUACCACAGUUGAUUCACAGGUUCGAUUAGAAUUUGUUAUCAGGAGACUGUGUAAUUCAGAAUUGCAUAAGGCUUGGGAACGAUGGAAUGGGCUGGGAGUUUUAAUCCUUAUGCAGAGCAGUUUUAUUUAUAUUUAUUCUCAUCUCAGGUCGCAAUACUCACCAAGGAAGGAAUGAGGUUGCGAUAUUGUAGUUAUGGCCAGUACAAGGAGGUCACAAUGGAAAUAUAUGGGGGUCUAUAUAGGACUUAUUGAUUGUGUGGUUGACGCAAAAUAUGGCUGGAGUUUAAAGGGUUGCAUUUACGUUGGCAUUUUCUCAGGUUUCAGGAUUCUUAUAGGAACAAAAGAAUGGAGCUUUUUGGUUUUCUGGAUGCAGGGAAUAACAAUAUUUGCUAGAUAUAAAUUACGGUUGAUAGAAUUCUUUAUGCAAUAUGUAUGGUGGUAUGUGAUUUUGUGGGGGUUUGGGGACUCUCGAAUCAAGUUUGUAACAUGUGUUUUGCAACUAUAUAAUUGUUUUUUUCA
Molecule: long non-coding RNA, 758 nt
Organism: Brassica oleracea var. oleracea
Lineage: Eukaryota; Viridiplantae; Streptophyta; Magnoliopsida; Brassicales; Brassicaceae
Exons: 2
Source: RefSeq, a predicted model, not a curated record